This 599-nucleotide ribosomal RNA is filed under the name uncultured archaeon. Its description in RNAcentral is "bacterial SSU rRNA". It matches the Rfam family "Archaeal small subunit ribosomal RNA", at positions 849 to 1450 of the family's 1478-position model. The record is from RNAcentral.
AUGAAACUUAAAGGAAUUGGCGGGGGAGCACCGCAACGGGAGGAACGUGCGGUUUAAUUGGAUUCAACACCGGAAAACUCACCAGCAGCGACUAUUACAUGAAAGUCAGGCCGAUGACCUUACUAGAUUUUUAGAGAGGUGGUGCAUGGCCGUCGUCAGUUCGUACCGUAAGGCGUUCUCUUAAGUGAGAUAACGAACGAGACCCUCACCAAUAAUUGCUACUGCGUCGUCCGCGGCGUAGGCACAUUAUUGGGACCGCUGGCGCUAAGUCAGAGGAAGGAGAGGUCAACGGUAGGUCAGUAUGCCCCGAAUCUGCUGGGCUACACGCGCGUUACAAAGGGCGGGACAAUGGGCUCCGACGCCGAAAGGCGAAGGCAAUCUCGAAACCCGUCCGUAGUUCGGAUUGAGGGUUGUAACUCACCCUCAUGAAGCUGGAUUCCGUAGUAAUCGCGAAUCAACAACUCGCGGUGAAUAUGCCCCUGCUCCUUGCACACACCGCCCGUCAAACCACCCGAGCUGGGUUUCAGUGAGGUUAUCUCUUUCUGGGGUAUUCGAACUGAGAUUUAGCAAGGAGGGUUAAGUCGUAACAAGGUAGCCGU